This 258-nucleotide ribosomal RNA is filed under the name uncultured bacterium. RNAcentral describes it as "partial 16S ribosomal RNA". It matches the Rfam family "Bacterial small subunit ribosomal RNA", at positions 526 to 779 of the family's 1533-position model. The record is from RNAcentral.
CGGAGGGAGCUAGCGUUAUUCGGGAAUUACUGGGCGUAAAGCGCACGUAGGCGGCUUUGUAAGUUAGAGGUGAAAGCCCGGAGCUCAACUCCGGAACUGCCUUUAAGACUGCAUCGCUUGAAUCCAAGGAGAGGUGAGUGGAAUUCCGAGUGUAGAGGUGAAAUUCGUAGAUAUUCGGAAGAACACCAGUGGCGAAGGCGGCUCACUGGACUGGUAUUGACGCUGAGGUGCGAAAAGCGUGGGGAGCAAAACAGGAUU